GACGAACGCUGGCGGCGCGCUUAACACAUGCACGUCGAACGGAAAGGCCCUGCUUUUGUGGGGUGCUCGAGUGGCGAACGGGUGAGUAACACGUGAGUAACCUGCCCUUGACUUUGGGAUAACUUCAGGAAACUGGGGCUAAUACCGGAUAGGAGCUCCUGCUGCAUGGUGGGGGUUAGAAAGUUUCGGCGGUUGGGGAUGGACUCGCGGCUUAUCAGCUUGUUGGUGGGUUAGUGGCUUACCAAGGAUUUGAAGGGUAGCCGGCCUGAGAGGGUGACCGGCCACAUGGGGACUGAGGUACGGCCCAGACUCCUACGGGAGGCAGCAGUUGGGAAUAUUGCACAAUGGGCGGGAGCCUGAUGCAGCCACGCCGCGUGCGGGAUGACGGCCUUCGGGUUGUAAACCGCUUUCGCCUGUGACGAAGCGUGAGUGACGGUAAUGGGUAAAGAAGCACCGGCUAACUACGUG
RNAcentral lists this ribosomal RNA (468 nucleotides) under uncultured bacterium. RNAcentral describes it as "partial 16S ribosomal RNA". It matches the Rfam family "Bacterial small subunit ribosomal RNA", at positions 28 to 507 of the family's 1533-position model. The record is from RNAcentral.